CCUACGGGUGGCAGCAGUGGGGAAUAUUGCACAAUGGGGGAAACCCUGAUGCAGCGACGCCGCGUGAGUGAAGAAGUAUCUCGGUAUGUAAAGCUCUAUCAGCAGGGAAGAUAAUGACGGUACCUGACCAAGAAGCCCCGGCUAACUACGUGCCAGCAGCCGCGGUAAUACGUAGGGGGCAAGCGUUAUCCGGAUUUACUGGGUGUAAAGGGAGCGUAGGCGGCAGCACAAGUCUGGAGUGAAAUCCCGGGGCUUAACCCCGGAACCGCUUUGGAAACUGUGCGGCUGGAGUGCGGGAGGGGUACGCGGAAUGCGUGGUGUAGCGGUGAAAUGCGUAGAUAUUAGGAGGAACACCGGUGGCGAAGGCGGCUUACUGGACUGUAACUGACGUUGAGGCUCGAAAGCGUGGGUAGCGAACAGGAUUAGAUACCCGGGUAGUC
This 440-nucleotide ribosomal RNA is filed under the name uncultured bacterium. RNAcentral describes it as "partial 16S ribosomal RNA". It matches the Rfam family "Bacterial small subunit ribosomal RNA", at positions 338 to 795 of the family's 1533-position model. The record is from RNAcentral.